UUGUUCCUACGGGAGGCAGCAGUGGGGAAUAUUGCACAAUGGGCGCAAGCCUGAUGCAGCCAUGCCGCGUGUAUGAAGAAGGCCUUCGGGUUGUAAAGUACCUUCAGCGGGGAGGAAGGGAGUAAAGUUAAUACCUUUGCUCAUUGACGUUACCCGCAGAAGAAGCACCGGCUAACUCCGUGCCAGCAGCCGCGGUAAUACGGAGGGUGCAAGCGUUAAUCGGAAUUACUGGGCGUAAAGCGCACGCAGGCGGUUUGUUAAGUCAGAUGGUAAAUCCCCGGGCUCAACC
RNAcentral lists this ribosomal RNA (289 nucleotides) under uncultured bacterium. RNAcentral's name for it is "partial 16S ribosomal RNA". It matches the Rfam family "Bacterial small subunit ribosomal RNA", at positions 333 to 614 of the family's 1533-position model. The record is from RNAcentral.